AUCGGUUUUGGCGAUAUGGUUCCAAAAACGUACAUGGGAAUGAUGGUUGGCAGCUUUUGCGCUCUGACCGGCGUGUUGACCAUUGCGUUGCCCGUUCCGGUGAUCGUUAGCAAC
Molecule: non-coding RNA, 114 nt
Organism: Trichuris suis (pig whipworm)
Lineage: Eukaryota; Metazoa; Nematoda; Enoplea; Trichinellida; Trichuridae
Source: Rfam